RNA transcript from Thunnus maccoyii (southern bluefin tuna), 11290 nucleotides. RefSeq lists it as uncharacterized. NCBI's taxonomy places the organism in Eukaryota, Metazoa, Chordata, Actinopteri, Scombriformes, Scombridae. The transcript is spliced from 32 exons. The record is from RefSeq and is a predicted model, not a curated record.
AGGAGGUAGGGGAAAGCUGCUUUACUGCUGUUUAGGUGCCUUGCUGAAACUGCUGACUCGGCCAGCAAGCUUCACUGCUGACCACUGACCCGGAUCUACAAAUAUGAGUAAUGAGAUCAUUCGCCUGUGCUUCCAAAGCAUCUCUCUGGACAGGCUCUUCGAGGGCUACGUGAUUUUCAGCAAGCAAAACCUCAGCAACUGUAUUCAGUGCUGCCUGGCCUGGAAGGAAAUUUACCUGCACGCCUCGCAGAUUGACCACAAAUAUCACACCAGUGAGCUUGUGACCCACGCAGCCAAUAUCACAGUCAGUCCACACACCGGGUUCAGUCACAGGGCAGGGAGAGAAAGCAGAAGGGAGGGAGGAUGAAAUGAGGAAGAAGGGAGAAGUCAACAAGGGACUAUCAAGAAAUGUGGCAUAUCAGGAGCCAUGUCGAUGAUUUCUACUCCAGCCAGAUUCCUCGUCGUGCAGCCUGUCAGAGCUACAGAGACAACAGCUUUCGGCCUCAUCACACAACACCUUGCUCUCAUAAGGUAUCCUCCAAAGGCUGGGUCUUGGACCAAACCAGCAUUUUUGUUCUGGUUGAUGCCUUCGUUCAAAGGUUAAGAGACCUGCUCGAGAAUUCAGCCAAGCCCAUACCUUUUGUCAUACAAAGUGUGGCUAUCUGUCAUCUCUCCGGUGGGAAUGCAUUGUCUGUUUUGUUUGUCCUCCUCUCCUUUUGUUACCCAUGACCUUGCUGUGGUGCUGUCUCCUUCUGUCCUGAGCUGGCUCGCUUGUUGGGCUGCACUGCAUAAACAAAAAGUCAUGUAAUUCUUUUUUUUUUCUCAAUUUUGAGAUCACAAGGUAAAUGCUCUACAUCAAAGACAGCAUUUCUUACAAGAGAAAUGUGCAUCUAAUUCGGCAUGUGCCUUCAGAAUACAUUGGUUUGCACCCUUUGUAAAUGACUGUUUGCCCUGAAAAAAAAACCUUUGGAUUUAAUUGAUUGCAGGGUUAUGAUGCAGCGCCAUUCACCGCCGCCCUCACAAAUUGCCAUGUCUAUGACCUUUAACAUAUUUUAGCUUAACCUUUUUCCCAUAUUAUUUCCUUUUCUAUUCAUAUAUUUCACAUCUCCUCUCUUUCCCUGCUAUUGUUGACCAAGGCUCUCUGAGGACUUUGACAGAAGAUAUCGUUGAAUGCAGAUGUCCCCCUUUACAAAUCCAUGAGAUGUGACCUUGAAUACGUUUAUUCCUCAAACCGUACAGUAUUUUCUCAAUCCUUAUCAUAUACAACACAUAACUUAUACAUACUCCCCUUGCAGAACAGUAUGGAUGUGUUUUCUCCUUUCACAUCUAUUCUACACUGCCUUUGCUCCCUCCUAUUUCAUCUCUAUGAUCCACCUGCAGCUAUUUUACAUAGAUUAUACUACAUUAUGCCAUGCAGAGCAGUGUUGCUACUUAACAUCUUAUUCAUACUUGUCCUUAUCUUAACCCGUCUCUCCAUAAUAGCUUUGGCAUGUGGGAUAUCAUUUUCUCUUUGCCACGUGACUGCCAGUAGCAGCUUGCCCGUUGGGAGGAGGGUCAGCAGAGGGUCCUGCCGCACUUCGGCGGGCACCAGGGGCCAGAGGUCACCCGCUGCGUGCUGGAGAUACAGAGCAACCUCCACCACUGCCUACAGAUUGUGCACUUUGUUGGCACAGGCAUCCUAGACGUCAAAACACCACCUGGCACAAUGAUUACAACAGAGUGAAGUCAUGAAGGUGAAGACCUGACCCUCCAGGGACUCAUGCUCUCCCUUUCCCUCCCUGUAUCAUCUAACACAUCACCAAAGGUCUCAGGAAAAGGGGUCUGCUGGCAGCAUAUGUGCUUCAGAAGGCCUACUUCAUGCCUGAGACAUACAGCCACAAGCAGUUUGUUUUGGCCUGUAGCCAGAUGUUCCAAAACCUGGAACAUCUGGCUACAGAUGAGAUGGGGAGGAGGCCUGGACUGACAGAGCUGCUGGAGCAGCCAUUAAUGAACUGCAAAGGGAAGCAGCGAAGAAAGGAGUGAGGGACUGGGAAAUAGAGAAGACGAGAUGUUGGACGAAUGCUCCAGGACUGGGUGAGCCACACAAAGAAAGUGGACUGCAUGUCUUCAGGGUCCCGGUAGCGCUGCACCAGGGAGCCCCCUAGACCUCAGCGAAGAGCACACCCAGGUGAUGUAGAGACUACAGUUGCCACAAGAGCAACAGCCUGUUGACCUGCAGGCCCGCCUAAAGGCCUGUGGACCUGGACAGCACCGCCAGAGACUCAACCUGCCAAUCUUUUUACAGAAAAAGGCCAACACCGUUCAACAGGAAGAGACGGUAUUGAACAUCCAGUUUAUCAUGCUGCACUAUUCACCACUCAAGUCCUCAUAACACCUGCCUCAAAGAACUUAAUGCCAAGAGGUAGGGAGUGGAAUAAAAUUAGUCUUUGAGCUUUUUCAGUAAAUAAUAUUGUUGAACUUUUGCAGGUGAGAAGGUAAUCAAGAAAAAAUUAGGUAUUUUCCUGAUUCUGCCAUUGCAGCAUCUUCUGUUGGUUUUUCUUCCAAAACAAUAUAUAUCAAGCAGCUUUUGCCUGUUGACUGAUUUUAUAUGAAGUGAGAAUAUAGUAUCUGCUGACCUAGAAGUGUCUAUAUAGUGAGCAGGGAAAGUAUUUAUUGCUAUAUAAAUUUACUGGCUACUGACAGUGAAAUAGAGGCAAGACUUUCAUUCUGGCCUGAGAAGAAUGAAGAGGAGUUUGAUCUUGGUGCUUUUCUGUCAACUGUGUUGUUGUAGUACACACUAGAAGAUAAUCUCUAAUCUUCACUAUUUGAAAGCAAGAGGCAGACCACACAUAUUUAUUUUUUGUUUGUGUUGUCAAUCAGGGAGUUGAUAAGCUUUCAUUUGUAAUGAGAAGACAAGUUAAGUAUCUGAUUGGUAUCCUGUUUACUUAAAUUGAAGAUCUUUCGACAUAUGCUGGUAUUUUCUAAUGACACUCGCUGGAACCCUUUCUGGACGUAUCUAAAAUGACCAAACUGGAGAGUGUCACUGUGUCUGGGCCAUGUCACAUCUUAAAAAGCUCAGCUGUCUGAUGCAGGCAGGCAAAUCACUCCAUGUUAUUUGAGUGUGAGCCACCUCCCCAGACACUGGUGGAGCUUCCUGAGAGCCUGAAGCUCUUGGAGACUCUCCAGGGAGAUUUGGCCAAGACAGAGGCUCAGAUUCCUCUCAUCCAUGAACAGUUUGCUAUCCUGGACAAAUAUGAGAUCCCAGUGGAAGAGGCUGUGAGUAUCUCAAUGAUAAAUUAAAAAAAUGUGAACACGUAUUCAGCAAAUAAUGCAUAAUGGGAUGUUUAUAUAGAUAUAGAUGUAGAUUAGAUAUUGACCACAUUUUCUGUUAACAUCGACAUGAUGACUUCUAAACAUUCACAGUGAGAGCAGGUGCCUUCCGUCGCUAUGUUAUACUUACAGAGUGCAAAUUAAAAUGCCUGUCAUACUUUGUGCUACUGAUCGUAAUAAUUGUGCAGGGAUGCAGGGAAAGAAAUUACUCACUUGCUCCUAAAAAGAGAGAUGUGACCCAGUAACAAGAAUUUGUUCUAUUAACAUAACAUCAUUUCGCCUUCAUGUUAAUCUGUAACGAGCUUUUGAAAGACUUUCUGACCCCACUGAAGUGAAAUAUGAAAUCUAUUUAUACUUUCACCAAAACACCAGUGGAAGUCAGUGGUAUACAUUCACAUGAAUAUGCACACCAAGAAGAAGAUCAUCCUCAUCCAUAUUCCAGUUCGACUCGCUUCCCCACCGGUGCAGGACUUUCACCGGGUGCCGCUGUGGGUGUGGUUCCAGCAGGUGUUGGCUGACAGCUACUUCAUACCAAAGAAUACAAGAAGCACAAGAACAUCCUCAUUUUGAGUACUCACUAACAUACUCUCACAGAUACAUGUCCAUUGGAGGCUCUGAAACAGGAGGAGAGCACCGUCCUUCACAGCCUGGGCUUCUUUAAGAUCGAACUGCCCUCCCUCACAAACAAUGGGGAUGCUGGAUAAGAACAAGCAGUUAAUCCGCAGAAGGAAAGUGUGCCAAGUGUGUGAAUCAGAUAUUGCAUUAGAAUGCCAACUGGAACAUCUGGGCAGGCUGCCAGUUUGCUAUGCUGCAGACUGUUAGCACAGCACAGGACUCCACAAACUCCAGAGACAACUCAAGGAACUGGACCCAGACCUGAGCUGCAGUGCUCCUUUGACCAAUCCAGCGCUGAAUUCACCCUGGACAAGAUCAUAUCUCUGGGCUUCAACAAGUAUGGUGACAGCAUCUGUGAGAUCUCUUGGACUGCCAGCGAGGAGCUCUCCAUAGGACAGCUCCUGACUAAAAAGGUGUUCAUCCUGUACUUCCUGGCGGUGCAGCAGCUGUCUAAAUAGGACCGCUAUGGUUUUGGCCUGUGUGCCCUCACCUCAUUGCUGCGCUACACUGAAAAGAAACUGUGGUCUUCCCAACAGUGUUGCUGUUGAAGAGAACCUGUUAAUGGCUAUGAAUGACAUGAACAUCGCUAAGCUGACCUCUACUGACCUGCCGCUGUUUAAUGGGAUCAUCCAGGACUUGUUCCCCCUGCUGUGGAAACACCCGCUAUGGGCUGUGGCAAGGUUGGUAUCCUCUGAGCUCAAGGACAAUGAGCACAGUAGAGCUAUACGGGAAAAAAAAACAACCUCAGCAGCAACAACUGAGUGCUUUCUUCCCUCAUGAGAUCAGCCUGCGCAGCCUCUCUUCCUGCCCAAACUCAUUCCUCCCUACUGGACAGAGACGGGGAGAGUUAGCAGGAGGUUGGUGAGUCAGAGGACACUAUGUUGCCAGCAUUGUGUAGACACCAAGAACAAAACCUGGUCUUCAUUUGAAGAUAAGCUGCCAAAGGGCUGGUGUUAUGCUGCCAAACCUCGACUAAUAGCAUCCAGGCCAUCGUAGAGAGCCACAUAAACAGAACCAAUUGCAUGUUUAUGCCAGCAGGUGGGAAGCCCCUGCUUUGCUUCCUGGAUGACCUCAACAUGUCCGCCCAUGACCUCUUUGGCCCUCCGCCACAACUGGAGCUGCUGCGCCUCUGGAUUAACUGGUCUGCUGAGAGUUCACCCAGACUUCCCUAUCAUAUCAAAGACAUCAUCACCAGCCUGGAUCCAUGAGUGCCUCAGGAAGCGUGGGCAUCAAGCAGGACCACGGCAGCACGGGGUCCACAACCACAAUACACGGAAGCCCGCGAUCCAUAACCAAGCAAUCCACGACCAUGAGCCAUAGAAACCUGCAAAGCACAAAAACUCCGGGGAAGAAGCCAGGUCAGAUUUCCUGAGUGAACCUCAUGUGUAUGAGGACCUUCUGGACAUGAAGCGUCUUAAGUUCAUGGAGGCCCACUGGAGGACUACAGCCUGACGCCUGGCCAUUGAUCACUGCGUCUGGGAACACAACACACACAUGCACACACUCAAAUACAUACACCAAAGGUGGCAACUGUGUUGUCUCCUCUUCCAGCAAACAGUGCAGCAAAUUUCCCUGAUGCAUUAAUCCACAGCGUCACAUUCUGUCCAGUCAAUCCAGUACACAAUCAAUAUAAGACAUCCUCAUCUGCUGUACUCAGAUGUGUUUGCUGUGUUCACUGUUUGCCAGUUAUAUGAUUCAGGCCCAGUUUGAAACUCCUUUGAAAAACACAGCAUGAUGUGCUGCUAAAAGCCACCCUGUAGUUGAAAGAGAGAAGGCCUCUCAGCACCAGGCUCUGCUCUCUACAUUCUGCUGUCAAUGUGCCACUUUACCACAUGCUACUGCAAAUCAAUAGCACUACAUUACUAUAGAAAACAACAUGCAUCGCCACUCCACUGAUAACUUUUCUGUAUGUGUAUGUUUGUGUUUUAGUGCAUUUAGUUUGUAUUUGGCUGUGGGUAUUGUGUGUGUUGUAAAUAGUGCAGGGAUUUUCAUCUGCAUUGAAGACCCAGUUCAUGACAUUUAGCUCCAAAAAACCCUACAGAAUAGGGAAUCUGGAGUGAUUUUUUGGUAUGAAUAGAAGGUUGGUGACUAAUCAAAAGCUCCACUGCUGCAAAUGAAAGAACUUCGCAAUAAUAAAAUAUGAUUGCAAUCAAGCAGAAAGUGGUUAUAACUAGUACGAACCCUUUGUCAGUUGGGCAAGUUGUCUUUUGCAGGUCACUUAUUUGAAUACAGGCAAAAGGAGAUCCCAGACAGUGAAAUCCAAAACAGUCAUUUUGAGUGACAUUUGUUUUUUGUGGCCAUGUCGGCAGCAUUAUUUAAUUCAUUAAUUAUAUCAUAAUUUAAUCAUUACAACUCUUCACAUGUAUGUAUAGUACCCAUUCUGUUUACACUGUUGUCCAAGCAUAAGUUCCAGUAGUAUUUUGUGCCCUUUAAGUAUUCAGUCUCCAAUCACAGCAUGAAAGGCAGCCCACUUGCUGAGACUCCAUCCUCAAAAAUGUGGAAAAUCUCAUUGAGCAUGAGUGCAAGAGAGUGUUCAAGCAUUUGUGUGUACGUUUUAAAUUUUCUUUCCAUGUUUUCAGUGGCAUUCAUAUUGUAUCCGUGUGUAUAUGUGUGUGUUUGUAUAUAUUUUGUCCUCAUUCAGGUAGACAGAGCCUGUCUAAGAUGGUCACCUCUAUCUGGGUACCAGGUAUUCCAGGUGAAAAUCACAAAGCACUACUGCAAGCAGGAUUUCAGAGAAGGCUGGUGGCAGGGAAACACAGUAAGUUGGAGGAGCAGGUGUACAAGCUGCAUAGCGGCCUUUUUAAGAUCAGUGACGCACAGGAGAAGGUAGAGGCCAUGUCUGUAGCGCUGGAGGAGGCUAAGAAGCAGGUGGCCGAGUUUCAGAAGCAGUGUCCGUCAAUGUUCAGCAGAAGAUAGAGGCUGACAAGCAGCCGAAGGUACUUGAUGAAGAUGAUCAGAUGGACAACCCCUGUACCAGUUGCCCUGCAGAAUCCAGCUGGGACAAAAUCACAGAGCUGGAUAGCGACAACUGGUUUACCAGAUCUGAGCAAGAGAACGCCACGCUACCAGGUUGUGGAGGAAUCCACCAGCAGUACUCCUCUGAUCUUUGUUCUUUCUCCUGGGGUGGACCCCACAGGAGCCCUGAGGCCUCUGGCAUGAGCAAACACUUCCACGCUCUCGCUCUGGACCAGGGACAGGCCCCCAUUGCCAAGAGCACGAUCAAAGAGGGCGUCAGAAAUGGUCCUCACCAACGCUCACCUCUCUGUCUCCUGGAUGCCUGAGUUGGAUAAGCUGGUGGAACAGCUACAGGUGCAGAAGCACCAAGCAAAUGUCAGACUCAAACUUCAAACUUGCACUCGUAGCCUCCCCAAAUAUCACCAUCCUGCAGUCCAGCAAACAGUUAUACAGACAGUGAGUAAGAGUCUGCUGAGUCUGUACCUUGAUGAGUACGACUUCUGUGAUGCUACCAUCAAACAGCCCUUCUUCAGUGCCGCUGUAUAUCUUCAGCCUCAUCUGGUCCAGGCAGCAACAGCAGCCCUUCAUAGACUCGCUGUCCUCCUUAUUUAUCCCUCCAUCCCUCUCCUCUCCACCCCUCCUUGGCAUGACAGCCUGGCAUUAGUUCUGAUCUCACAGACUCAUGGCUUUAAUUUUGGCCUGCCUGCUUCUCUGUCUUCGGCCAUUUUGUAUCUGAUUUCUUCAAAAGGAACUGCUGUGUGUGUGUUCAGUGGCUGUAUGGCAUAUGUGCAUGCAUAGUAAGAGAUCAUGUCAGUAUUGUAAGCAUGCCUGCUUUCAUUCCUCUAAUCCAAACAUGUGUGUGCAUCUCUGUGAGCAUACAUGUGUUGUUGUUCAUGUAUAUUUCUGUGUGCUUGGGUUAGUACAUGUAUGUUAGUUUAAGAUUAUGCUAAGCCAUGAUUCCCUUAUUAAUAUAUUCAUGGCUGUUCAGGCUGUCAACCAGGGCUGUGCAUCCAUCUAGUCAUGUGUUGGCUUACCUGCACACCUCUUAUUCCCCUUUUCAAAGUAUAAUUUUCAGUUUGCACAUUGGGCAUGUACAAGCACCAAAACUCACCACUGUCACAUGAUAUCAUCAUUAAUAUGUCUCUUAGUGGUAAUUUCAAAUACCGGAACCACAGAGAAAUAUUUUCACUGACUAAGAACUACAUUUAUUUUCAGUUCGAUACACCCACAUAUACACAGAAACACACGCAUGCAGGCACACAUCCAAACAAUGCGGUUAAUCAAGGUGAGGUAAGGGAUAUUUUUAUGCUAAUUCACAUUUCCCUCAAGCUGAAAAAGAGGACAGAGGGAGGGAGCGACUGAAGGAGAAAUGAACCUAUUCAAACAAAUGAAUUCUAAUGAAGCUUUGCAGACAAGACGUUUGGAGUCGCUCAGAGUUGUGGGAGAGAAGGCCCGGACUUCCCCAAUGGAAAGGACUCAGCCCAAACUCCUGAAAAAGGAGGGAGAGAAAAACAAGAGAAGGACCCUGGAGAAAGUGAGCCGGGAGGAAGAAUGGUCCAGUAAUGAGAGAGGGGAACCAGAGGGUGUGUGUGUGUGUUGGGGUGGGGGGUGGGGAGGGUCUGAGUUCAAGGUUGUAUUCAGACUUUAAGGAUUGUCCCCCUGAAAGACCAAACACAGACUUCCUCAGGGUUUAAGAGCCUCUUUAUCAGACCCAGGUCUCUCUCUCUCUCUCUCUUUCUGUGUGUGUGCAUGUACACUGGUGGUCUCUGGUUGGAUGGGAGAUGAAGGGGGGCACUCAAAGCAACAUGCUGAAUUCAAAUUCAAAUAGGCUUAUUCUCAGGCCUGCUUUCAACAAAAAUAUCAGACUUCAGUAGGUGUUUUAUGGAUAAAAGCUUCAAUUGAAAAAGGAGUAGAAUGCAGCUGGUAUAUAGAAACAGUCUAGAUUUCUUAUUUCUUACUGUAUGUUUUGUGACUUCAGAAAAAAGCUAAAAUGAUACAAAUUUGCAUUUUGUAUCAUUUUGUUAGACAUGGUGUGGUGUUCAAACUGUGGAUGUCUCAUUCUGUGUCCACGUUAUCAGUCCAUGGAAAUAUUUGCAGAGGUCAGCAGGAGCCAGAUCCUCCCAUCUGCUUAUCCACUUAUAAACUGUAAACAGGCCUAAUCUAAAAUUCCUAGUUUUUAAAGGAAUGUGUGAACAUUGAAUAAAUGUCAAUGUGUAGGUGUUACAGACUUUCAUACAACAGACCCCUUCAAACUAGAUUCUCUGCAGUCCUGUUAGUAAAAUGAUCUCUGUCACUUUAGUGGGUAAACAUGGUGAAUCAUUUUCUUAUUAUACUGUCUCCUACUAAAUGCUUUAACUGCAGUUUGCUGGCAGACCCCUUGACAACACCCUUAUGCACCCUUUUGUUGGGAAGCAUUAAUGGGUUGUUUUUUUAACUUAGAGUAAGAGCAUGUUCUUAUGUUGGCCAACAUGCUCUUACACUAGUUUUCAGUUUAUUGGGAAAUAACAGGGAUUUAAUAAGACAUUACUAGACUUCUCCAAAGCAAUUUUUUCCUGAUUCCUCAAGCGGCUCUGAGGUCCAGUUGUUCCUCUACAGUUCUCUCAAUAGUUAGUGGAAUUUGUACAAUGUUUGCCAGUGACUAUGGAGGCAGGACAGUUAGUUUUCAAGAGUCUUUCACUGAAAAUAAAAAAUAAAAAGAGGGAAGGUGGAAGGGAAAGAGCCAUUCAUGAGAGACAUUUUUUAUAGACUUAAGGUGUAUAACAUGGUGGACCAUUCGUCUCUGUGAAGUGGAUAUCACUUUUUGUGUAUAAUUGAAGUCGACAUCAAAUUAAGUCAAAGGCAACUGGAUCUGCUGUUUUAUAAUGUGAGUUAUCAUUUUUUCAUUAUCAUUAUUUUCUUUUGCAUUGGAUGCGUUAAUAAGAGGAGAAAGCACUUUUAUGAUUGGGCAUGUCAUGCCCUAACAAUAUGGGACUGGUUGCGUUCAUACCUUAGCUCAGACUUCUGUAUAGAUUCUUGGGCCUGCAUACCCAUCUCACCUUGGAGUGUUCUUAUGAGUAAUGCACAGCAUAGCCCUUAGAACUUAAGGUUUAUUCAAUAAUUUAUCACUCUUGUAAAACUUGGCAGGAUAUUACUCAAUCCAUAGACAGAGAAUAAUUUACAUCUAUGUUAUCUCCUAUGUGAUAAUUGGGACUUUAUUCCUGGAUUUAGGUCUCUUAUCUUUGAAUACUGGAAAACUAAAGGUAUUUAGAUUGUAGGGGAUCUGUUUCAAGAAGGAAAUCUCAUGACAUUUUCUCAAUUACAGCAAAGGUUCAAUUUACCUAAGCAACAUAUAUUUGCAAAUUUGCCAUUUUAUCAAUACACAAACUUUUCCAUUAUACGAUACUUGAUAAACUGCUACUUUUGGCAAGAAAAUGUGUUCUGUUGAAAUGGAUUAAGGACACUCCUCCUACUGUCACAAUGUGAAGUUUUUAAUGUGUUUCCGCAUGAAAAAACGAACUCAAAGGAAAUGUCCAGGAGUUCAUAAACUUGUGGAGGCCUUUCCUGGUUCAGCUUCCUGUUGAAAUGUACUAAUGAAAGAACAUUGUUCUCUGGAAUUGAAGCCUUUGAGAAGGGACAGUGAACUGUGACCAAUGAUGGGACUAAAAGCUAAAGUCUUCUAAGACAAGGAUGUACGGUACAAUGGGGUGGGGCUGGCUGGACUUUUCUGGCCUUGGGUUCUUUUUUGUUUUGUUUUGUUUUGAUUUAGUUUUUUGCUGUUAUGUUGUUGAGUCUUAAUGUAUGUUGAUAUGGGUUAUGUUGAUAUUAUAAAAAAAUAAUAAAAUUAUCAUAAAAAAAGAGGGGACAGCUACAUUCACAUUCCCAUUUUGCCACCCUGGGCUGUGAUCUAUCUGCAUGUCCUCCGUGUCCACGUUUGCACCCGAUAUGGAUGUUGAAUGGGAUUUCAUGGGUUUUUAGGGGGUUGGGUCAUCCGUGGCCGGGAAAUGAGAUGGACUGCUUUGCAGAUUUUCCACUAUUACACUGUUUUAACUGCGAGAGUCAGCACAGCACCUCCCCAGCAGAUUUUUGGAUGACACAAAAGAAGUUUAUCAGAGGCAGGACAGAAACACUGAGCGACCGUAUGGGAAUAUUACAGAGGAUUAAUAACGGAAUGGGUAGUGGAAGGUAUAUAUGUGAUGCAAUGGCUUUGUGGAAGAAGUAUGUAGAUAGUGCACAAUGUCAUGUCAUAUUUCACCAAUGAAAUGUUUCCCUACGAUCCUUUAUAAAUCAGCUAAACGUUAAAUGUUUAGCUAAACUUCAUUUAAGCAUGCAGGCUGAAUAUUUAACUGACUGAAUGAAAUGGUUUUUGGAUAUUUAUGUUUUAUUUGAAAGAGCAUCGUAUCUGUUUGUACUUCACACUUUCUCCUUACUAUCC